CUUCCAAAUGCUGUGGGCGAGGCCAAAACAAAAAACAAAGAAACCCUGAAUUGUCCAUUUUCAGAGGACGCUCCCCAUUCUGUCAUUAGAAUGGAAUGAUCAUUAAUUUUCCAAACCCCAAGUUACCUGCAUGGUCUGCCCUGCCUAUACCUCUUAUCAAAUCCUGCUCCUUUUCCCAAUAGGGACUCUCCCUGAGUUGCUACCACACCCCUUUAUGCUAAUCCCCUCCGCGGAUCUGGCCCACAGCCUGGUGGGGCUCUCUGGCUUCGAUGUCAUCACGCCUCGGCCACCCUCUCUCCUACACUCCGAGCCCCCCCACAGAUGCCACACUCAUUCUUGGCCUGUCUCAGAACAGGAUAUACCGAGGAGGGCAUUAGGAUCCUUCCCAGCCCUAGGAUCGGAUUAUCCUUGCUUCAUUCCACAUGACUAAGACUCCUGGAAGGGUUCCAGCAAGACAAGAAACAACACAUUUGCCCCUUCUCCAGAGAAAGAGCUUCCAAGUCAUCUGAGCCAGUGGAACAGCAGCAAGAGUACAGGUGUGAACGGCCCUGGGUUCAGGCCCCAGCUCUGCUGCCCACAGCACACAUGUUCCCCUCGGGCUGGUCUCUCAGAGCCUCUGUUUCUUCAUGUCAUCAAGUGAGGGUGACGUCCUCCUCCGCAGAACAACACAGAUUAAAAUGAUAACCUGCCAGACAGCCGGGUGGAGUCCAGGCCCCUGAUCAGCGAUAGUGCUGUGUGCCCUCUGCUCAGUUCCAGCCACACUCUGACUCCUGAUCUAGGCCCAUAGUGCCUGGCAAGCUAUCUGUGGAAUGAAUGAAGAGGACUAGGCUCACUGGACAAGCCAUGUGAACUGUGGACAAGAGUCUGGGUUCUGGAGUCUCAGUCUCAAUCUCAGAUCCCGUCUCUGCAGCUUUCCACGUGUGACCUUGGGCCAAGUUACUUAAUCUAAGUCUCAGUCUCCUCAUCUAUUAAAUGAAGAAUUACAGAAACAUGUGGUAAUGGAACUGCAAGAGCUGUCCAUCCUGGGAAUGGAAAGUGUAAUACGAGAAUUCAUCAGGAAUGUGGGUGACGUUGGGAGAGGAUCCUCCUUCCAGGGAGGAUGAAAGGGUGCGCGUCAGUGUGUCGUCACCUCCUCUGCAGACCACACACUAAAAGCAGAAGGGGCCUGCCUGGGCAAGGCCUGUGCUACUGGAAA
Phacochoerus africanus (Common warthog) is the source of this 1195-nucleotide long non-coding RNA. RefSeq lists it as uncharacterized. NCBI's taxonomy places the organism in Eukaryota, Metazoa, Chordata, Mammalia, Artiodactyla, Suidae. The transcript has 4 exons. The record is from RefSeq and is a predicted model, not a curated record.